Molecule: non-coding RNA, 74 nt
Organism: Podarcis lilfordi (Lilford's wall lizard)
Lineage: Eukaryota; Metazoa; Chordata; Lepidosauria; Squamata; Lacertidae
Source: the annotation of a GenBank genome assembly
GCCUGGGAUAGCUCAGUUGGUACAGCAUGGGACUCUUAAUCUUGGGGCCAUGGGUUCGAGCCGCACGUUGAGCA